AUGCCCCGCCCCCUCCUCCACCGGGCUCCACCCCUUCCCCGCACGCCUCCUUGCCAUCGGGCGCCGCCCCCUUCCCCGCGUGCCUCCUCGCCGCCGGGCGCUGCCCCCUCCAGAGCGCGCCUCCUCGGCGCCGGGUGCCAGCCCCUUCCUAGCUAGCCUCCUCGCCGUUGGGCGCUGCCCCCUCCAGUGCGCGCCUCCUCGCCGCCGGGCACCGCCUUCUCCAGAGCGUGCCUUUUCAUCGCUGGGCGCCGCUCCUCCUACACGCACCUCCUUGUCGUCUGGCACCGCCCCCUCCUCCGCAAGCCUUCUCACCGCCGGGUUCCGCCCCCUUCUCGCCGGCUGGCGCCGCCCCCUCCUCGCGUGCCUUUUCUUCGCCGGACGCCAACCCCACCCUGCUGCCGGGCGUCCGCCGUCGGGAUCCAACGCCCAACACCACGGUCUCUGUUGUCCUGCUGUUUCACAUGGGAGGUGUUAGCCUCCUGCACCCGCCGGAUCCAGUCAUCCCCUUCCGUUCACCUCUUCCACCCGAGGCCAUUCACCAUCGCCACCAGUUCUCAUUCAACACCGGCCCCAGAAUCCCGUGCGUCAAUGAAGCCGCUGUCAACCCAUGCGAAGCUUCAAAAGAGGUACAGUUCAGAACUUUAAAUACCCAGAGGUUCAGUUUUGAACUUGCAAUGUCUCCAGGAAUGUUACUACAUAAAUGUUUCAGUUUGAGUUCAUAUUGAAUCACAUGUGCCAUCUUGCUAUCUUUUGGAAUCAAUAAGUUGCAUGGAGAUAUCACAGAACAAUUGUUAAACAGGAUGGCAUGUAUGUACCAAUAAAAUGGUGUGAUGUGUUCAUAUUGUGUGAAGUUCAAGAAAAAGAAAAAGGAAAGUUCAAGCAAAAACAAAACUCAGGGAUUUCACUCUUGAACAAGAAAACAAGAAUUUUUUUGUAAGUUUUAUGUGUUGGGGGGGGGGGGGGGACAGGGCCAUUGUUGGUUGCCUGGGUCAGUUCAUGUGCAACCAUUGGAGGAGUUCAAAAAAAUCAGAACUCAUGUAUUUCCACAAAAUUCUGUAACUUUCAUGUGUGUGCUGCUACAAAUAUGAACUAUUUUUCCAAUCAUACUAGUACUGAUGCAAUCACCUAAAUAAGUUGACAAAAAAUUCUAUAAGUUUGGCGCAUGUCCUGCUAAAGAUCUAAACUUCUUGUACAGUCAUUCUAGUACUGAUGGAGAUCGAGUUGACUGAAAUAAUGUAGUCGAUUCCUGAGACCCUUACUAGUCCUUUAUAUAUAGAAGUUGUGCCUGAUAGCCAUACAUGGCUUUUCUCUUUUUUGCCUACUUGUUUUGUAAAAUUCUUUGAACUUAUUUAGGUGGUAUAUUUGGACCUUUGCCUCGUUAGUACAACAGCACACUCCAUAGUCGGUCACGAGAAAAGCUACGUGCAGGCCACCCAGUGCUCCAUCCUCGAUCCGGCUUAGUUAUCUCCCUCCCAUCCUCUCUCUGAUGUGUGUGUGUGCAGGGAGUCGGAGGAGAUAAAGCAGGGGAUUAUUGAUGUGCCUGAUUGUUGCUCUCCUGUUGCCGUUGCCGAGCACAGGGGGUGGUCGCCGGCGGCUCCAUUCUCGACCCAGCUGCUGCCCUGCAUGCAGCCACCCUUGGAGACCACCCGCCACCACGACCGUCGUUGUCCAUCCCCUACAUCGACGGUGCUCAAGCGGCUCUUCUCACUGGCUCCUACGACUCCCUCAUUCGCCAUGGAUACAACCAUCAUUGCAGGUGUGGAGAACCAAAAAGUUAUAAUAAUGGUGAAUCAGAAGUUCAAGCAUAGUAAUCUGGGGGCGUGGGGGCAACUGCUGAUAGAGACCGAGUCAAAGUGUCGUGACUGCUGAUGCAGAUCUUCAGCAUGGACUUUGAUGGAGAUACUCCUCUAAUGUCCUACUUCCAGAAGAUAUGAGUGAGAUGCGAUGGGACCUGACCAGAUGCUGAUGUUGGACUAGAAAAUUUAGUGAAAAACUAUUCUGUACUAAAAGAACAACUAUGCUUUGUCGGACAAGCACAAUACGAGCUUGCGAGAAACAAAAAGAAGUUAAAAAAAUGUUGUGCCCGGAGUUCAUAUUAUUUGCUACCCCGUGAUAAUAAAAAUAAGAUGUAUGCAUUGCUUCUUGGCCCAGCUUGAGAGAACCCUCAUGUUAAAAAGUAUAAAGCAGUUUUGGUAGCUCAGGCUUCUUUAUGUUUUGGAGAUCUACAGAGUGACUAUCUGAGAGCUGUGCUGGACUUUCUCAUUACAGCAUGGAACUUCUCUAGAAAUCCCAGUUGAUUUUUAAUGUUUGUUCCUCAUCACUUCUAAAAAUCUUAGAGCAUCCAUCCAACUAUGUAUCAGGAUAUACUAUGUUGUAAAUUUAUGUAUGCUUGUAUGUGCAAAAAUAUAUUACGGUUGUUGCUUC
RNA transcript from Triticum aestivum (bread wheat), 2424 nucleotides. RefSeq lists it as uncharacterized. The transcript has 5 exons. Lineage: Eukaryota; Viridiplantae; Streptophyta; Magnoliopsida; Poales; Poaceae. The record is from RefSeq and is a predicted model, not a curated record.